CUUUGAAACUGCGAAUGGCUCAUUAUAUCAGUUAUAGUUUAUUUGAUGAAGAAUACUAAUUGGAUAACCGUAGUAAUUCUAGAGCUAAUACAUGUAUAAAGUCUUGUAGACUGCAUUUAUUAGAAUGAAAACCAUAGGUUUCGGCCUAUUCGUGAGUAAUAAUAACUAAUCAUAUCGUAUGCUUAUGUAACGAUGUGUCUUUCAAGUUUCUGCCCUAUCAGCU
RNAcentral lists this ribosomal RNA (223 nucleotides) under uncultured Blastocystis sp. RNAcentral's name for it is "partial small subunit ribosomal RNA". It matches the Rfam family "Eukaryotic small subunit ribosomal RNA", at positions 79 to 320 of the family's 1831-position model. The record is from RNAcentral. Lineage: Eukaryota; Bigyra; Opalinata; Blastocystidae.